GGGUCAGUAGGUUGGUCGUGCCACCGGUACGUACUGGUCUCACUGAUUCCUCCUUCCUGAAGAACCGUAAUGCCAUUAAUUUGGUGUUGCGAGGUAACAGGACUGUUACUUUGAAAAAAUUAGAGUGUUUAAAGCAAGCUAACGCUUGAAUACAUUAGCAUGGAAUAAUGAAAUAGGACGAUCGAUCCUAUUUUGUUGGUUUCUAGGAUUGACGUA
This 216-nucleotide ribosomal RNA is filed under the name Glomeromycotina sp. RNAcentral describes it as "partial small subunit ribosomal RNA". The stretch from base 40 to 216 matches the Rfam family "Eukaryotic small subunit ribosomal RNA", at positions 686 to 864 of the family's 1831-position model. The record is from RNAcentral. Lineage: Eukaryota; Fungi; Glomeromycota.